Molecule: RNA transcript, 3285 nt
Organism: Prunus persica (peach)
Lineage: Eukaryota; Viridiplantae; Streptophyta; Magnoliopsida; Rosales; Rosaceae
Gene name: origin of replication complex subunit 5
Exons: 6
Source: RefSeq, a predicted model, not a curated record
UCGUCUUCCUCGCGAAGUCGCCUACCUCGCAGGGUCGCAGCCAAUUUGCAGACUCGCAAAAUUUCUUCCGGUUCAGAAGUGUCCAGAUCUGGCUCGCCUUGCUCCGCCUCGCUCCUCCUGGCCACGCCUUGCAACGCCUCCUUACUCCUUCUUCGCGCUAAACGUGCAACUCGCGAAACAGCCGACCGCCUCGGGCGAUUUCCUGCCGCCUCGCUCCGACGCGCGCGAAGAAUUCAGACAUGGGUAAAGAGGAAAGCCCAAAAACCACAAGGAGAACAACCAGAUCCUCCGCUGCAGCUACCCCUUCAAAGAAUGUAGUUGAAGAAACUAAUGCAAGUAGUUCUCAGCCGCCAACUCUCAGUGACCUUGUGCUUGGAGAAGAAAGAGAAUCCUUUAGCUUGGAUGAUCUGUUGUCUAGUUUUCCUGGUAGACGUAAUCAGAUCCACGAGCUUCUACAACUUUUGGGUCCACGGAACUCUCCCAUGCUUCCUAUCUUUGUAUAUGGAGGCACUUCUACCGGGAAAACUAGUAUGGUACUGGAGACAUUUAGGCAUCUUAAACGUCCUUUUGUUUAUUCAAGCUGCCUUAGCUGUUAUAAUCCCCGAAUCUUGUUCGAGUCUGUUUUGAAUCAACUGUUUCUUCACCGAAAGAAUGCAGUAAAUGGUUAUUCAAGUGCAAAGCGCUGUGAAAGCCCAUCUGAUUUUGUUAAUUUUCUUCGCGAAGCCUUGGUUAGCGUUCUUGCUAAUCUUGAGGGAAACUCGGGGAAAUUAAGCUCCAAAAGGUCCGGAAAGGCUAAUGGAAAUAUGAUCUACUUGAUAUUUGACAAUUUGGAGCGUGUCAGAGGAUGGGAAAAAGGUUCUACCAUAUUGCCUUUACUAUUUAAUCUCUAUGACAUUCUGAAAAUGCCUGAGGUCGCUCUUAUCUUUAUUAGCAGUGCCUCACCGGAUACAUAUUACUCAAGUAUGAGUUAUGUGGAGCCUAUCCCUAUAUAUCUUCCUGAUUAUACUCAAGAUGAUCUUCAGCAAAUCUUCUUGAGAAACCAAGCAAACAAAAAGCUUUAUGCAUCUUUUCUCAGUGUCGUGCUAAGGCCUUUCUGUAGAAUUACCAGACGGGUGGAUGAAUUGUCUCCUGCCUUUUCACUAUUAUUCACAAAAUAUUGUGAGCCUGUAACCAAUCUGGGUGUUGUUCCCAAUAAAGAGUUGAACCAAAGGCUGUUUCAUUAUUUUCGGCCCCAUGUUGCUCCUUCACUGAAUGAGAUAUUUAAGGUUUCAUCUCAUCCAUCCACUGAAGUUGAAGUUAGGGAGACAAAAGGAAAGGGCAGCACAAGGAAAUUUGGAGAUUGCGAGGAUGAUCAACUAGAUUUCCAUAUGCCUACUUCUGCCAAGUAUCUCCUUAUUUCAGCAUUCCUUGCUUCAAGAAACCCGGCUACCCUUGAUGCAUCAUUGUUCGAUUCCACAGGAGGUUCUAAUAGUCGCAAACGAAGGAGGAAGGCCUCCGAGAAGUCAAUGGAACAGAAGGAAACUGCAGAACAGGAAUUACUUCUGAAUCCUGGAACAUUUCCAAUGGAGAGGUUAUUAGCCAUAUUUCAGUGUAUUACAUCUGUAGGGGAAGGUUCUCUUGAUGAGGAGGAAGAAGGAUAUGAUGGGUUAGGCAUUCGAAAUGGGAAUGGUGGGCUCAUGUCUGAUGUUCUCUUACAACUGUCCAGUCUCUGCAGUGCUAAUUUUAUUGUCACUGGUGGAAGCUGCCCACUAGAGGGCUCAACUCGAUAUCGAUCUACAGUGAGUGAAGAUAUGGUUCUGAAGGUAGCAAGGAGCAUUAAGUUUCCUCUCUCAAAGUAUAUAUACAGAUAGUUUGCUUUUUUGGUGAGGUAUUUGUGAUAUGGUUGCCAAUUCGUUCUCAAGGAUGAAGAAAAUUCUCAAGCAGGGUCAGAUUGCCUCUGGUUUUCAACUAACAUAGCCUCUACCAUGUUAAACCAUUACUCCAAAUUCUCUGAUCCUCAUAUUUGUUGAGCAACUUCAAAUGACUGGUAUUGAGUGGAUACAACUGAUUGUUGCGGUUUUGUGAUAGAUGGGGAUUGCACCAUUAAAGGAGCUGGAUAAGAAAAAUGUCUUCAGUACUCUAGCAAUUUGAACAGUUUCUGGAAGUUUCUGACAGUAUCUUGGUAUCAAGUUUCUGCAGGCCUGCUAUCUAACAAUUGUAGUUAACCAGAGACCUUAACCAAACCUUGUCAAUAGUCUAGUAAGUCCCAGGGCACAGAACUUGUUCGAUGUUCAAAUCUAGUGUAAACACUUAAAAUGCCAUUGGUAACUAUUCUUUUUUUAGAUACUCUCAAGUAAAUGCCGUUUGUUAUGCAGUGUACGCGUCUAUCGCAAUUCGGGAAUCGUUUAUUGAGUUUUGCUUCCUUUUUGCUAAGUUACGCCCGAAUUGAUUCUCUCUUUAGGUUUGGUUAGAUGUAUUGUAAGUGCUAUUUGCAGAGAAGGGCAGGAACGAACUGGGGUAAACCUCACUCUGUUUUAUCACAUGGCUGCAUUACAUAAAAUAGUUGUUGGGGGCAAUUUCUCACAGCUGCAAGAGAUGCCCGUCACAGAACAGUGUAUGGUUGCUGUAUGCAAGCAAUGUGGUGGGAGGACUUGCCAAUGUCUCAGCUGGCCUGAAAUCCCAUCUUAAAUGCAAUUUAGAGCAAUGACUCGUUUGAUGCCAUAUGACCUCUUUUUGUGUGGAUAAAUGCUAUAUGUGGUUGAAAUGGUAGAAAUGUGAGACUCAGAACGUUGACUUUAGUUUUAAUGGGGUCCCCAGAGGGCUAUACUUAAUGGUCCAGCAUGGGAGUUGGAUCAUCCACAUGUAUAUUUCUUGGUCAUCAAUGGACAGUUGGAGACCUAAUUUUAUUUGGGUUUUGAACAUUUUGCUUCAUAAUGCAAUAUGUGGAAUUGAUAGGAGCCGCCUGAUCUGCAUCUGUAAACUACCAACUAUGAGAGGUUUGGCAAGUCCCAGGAUUUGAUAUCACAAAGAAUAGAGAUCUUGAUUUGAUGCUGAGGUGCUUGAAAAACAUUGUCGUUUAAUUUCGUAGCUACCCAACCUAUAUCAUGUUGGACUUAAUUUGUUUCCUUUUUUGGUUGAACUACUUAAUUUUAACCUAGUAGGUGCCAAAAUCUCCAUCUAAACAAAUGGGGAACUAUAGGCUUUCUUGUGGAAUGUCUCAAUCCAAGCCAUUCACUCCAAAAUUUCUGUUAUUGUAAACCGUUUGUAUUUUAUAUAUAAAAUUGGGGAUGUCAUUAGUUCAACAAA